This 225-nucleotide small RNA is filed under the name Vigna angularis var. angularis. RNAcentral describes it as "Non-protein coding transcript". Lineage: Eukaryota; Viridiplantae; Streptophyta; Magnoliopsida; Fabales; Fabaceae. The record is from RNAcentral.
GUUGUAUGAAUUUAAACUUGCAAAUUUGGUUUUGUCACCAUUUUGUGACAUCAAACUCAAUGUACAACACCCGGGUAACAAAAUUUCCAAAGUUGUUGAAUUGGAUUGAUAUCAAUAUCGGGAGAAGUUCAUCAGAAGUGCUUUGGCUAAGGCAUCGGUUGUUGUUGAUGUUGAUGUGUCCAAAGAAGAGCUUUGUUAUGGUAUGGUGACAGACGUUGUUUAGAA